CAUAUCUGUACAUUUUCGUGUAAAGAUUCACUGAUUUGUGUUCUGUGUAAAAAUACCAAAUCCGGGAAUGUAUAAUAGCUCUAUUGACAUAUCAAUUUUCUCCCUACAUUACGGAUUCAAUUAGCUAGUACCAUAUUACGGAUUUUCGUGUCCAACAACCAAAAAACCACGAUAACUUUAGACUAGUCAUAGUGCAAGUAAUUUGGAUACUAACAUAGAUGUCAACUAGACAUUUUUGUGACAUGGCAUGACAAUAAAUGAAAAAAAAAAGAUUUGUGAAAACUGUAGAUAUAUUAUCAUAACAUCACACAAAUCAAGAUAAGAUGAGUGUAUAACACAAUUAAUGACACAAUAGAUGACACCGCAUAUAAGUUAUUACUUAACUUAUACCUGUAACUUGGAUAGUAUUUGCUUGGGGAGCACUCUCUAGGCUAAAACGUGGGGGCACACUCCCUGGAUGGCACCGGAUUUUAUUUUUAUUUUGAAAAUUAUGAAUUUAAGCAACGGUGAACUGUGUCAAAGUGUAGCCUAUUUACUUUAAAAAAAAGUGUUGCCUAUUUGAUUAUGAGUGUUAACUCGGUACACUUUAUCAUGGUAUAUUUGCAAAAUCACAUACUCUCAUAUAUAAUUAUUUUGACAAAAAAAUAUGAACUAAAAAAUAAAAUACAUCGAAUAAAUGGUCGGAAUUUGUUGGACUAGACACAACUCCUCUUUUCCAAUAAAAAUCGCUCAACAAAACAAAACCAACGUUCAAAAAAUACAUGACAAAAUGUGUCUCCUUUUUUUUAGAAUAGUGUCACCCUUUUGUUGAUACGAAUUUGUUGACAGGUGACAGGAAGCCUUUUUCUUUGUUGACAUGAAGCUAUGAACC
RNAcentral lists this long non-coding RNA (871 nucleotides) under Brachypodium distachyon (stiff brome). RNAcentral describes it as "long non-coding RNA (BDIS_LNC005186)". Lineage: Eukaryota; Viridiplantae; Streptophyta; Magnoliopsida; Poales; Poaceae. The record is from RNAcentral.